UGGAAUGUAGCUCAGUGGUAGACAGUUUGCCUAGCAUGCAUGAGACCCUGGGUUCAAUUCCCAGCACCACAA
RNAcentral lists this transfer RNA (72 nucleotides) under Ictidomys tridecemlineatus (thirteen-lined ground squirrel). RNAcentral's name for it is "Spermophilus tridecemlineatus (thirteen-lined ground squirrel) tRNA". It matches the Rfam family "tRNA". From Rfam's summary of the family: Transfer RNA (tRNA) molecules are approximately 80 nucleotides in length. Their secondary structure includes four short double-helical elements and three loops (D, anti-codon, and T loops). Lineage: Eukaryota; Metazoa; Chordata; Mammalia; Rodentia; Sciuridae. The record is from Rfam by way of RNAcentral.